RNAcentral lists this non-coding RNA (45 nucleotides) under Schistosoma mattheei. The record is from RNAcentral. Lineage: Eukaryota; Metazoa; Platyhelminthes; Trematoda; Strigeidida; Schistosomatidae.
AUCCAGCUGAUGAAUCCCGAAUAGGACGAAACGCGCGUCCUGGAU